GAUGAACGCUGGCGGCGUGCCUAAUACAUGCAAGUCGAGCGAACGGACGAGAAGCUUGCUUCUCUGAUGUUAGCGGCGGACGGGCGAGUAACACGUGGAUAACCUACCUAUAAGACUGGGAUAACUUCGGGAAACCGUAGCUAAUACCGGAUAAUAUUUUGAACCGCAUGGUUCAAAAGUGAAAGACGGUCUUGCUGUCACUUAUAGAUGGAUCCGCGCUGCAUUAGCUGGUUGGUAAGGUAACGGCUUACCAAGGCAACGAUGCAUAGCCGACGUGAGAGGGUGAUAGGCCACACUGGAACUGAGACACGGACCAGACUCCUACGGGAGGCAGCAGUCGGGAAUCUUCGGCAAUGGGCGAAAGCCUGACGGAGCAACGCCGCGUGAGUGAUGAAGGUCUUCGGAUCGUAAAACUCUGUUAUUAGGGAAGAACAUAUGUGUAAGUAACUGAGCACAUCUUGACGGUACCUAAUCAGAAAGCCACGGCUAACUACGUG
This 497-nucleotide ribosomal RNA is filed under the name uncultured bacterium. RNAcentral describes it as "partial 16S ribosomal RNA". It matches the Rfam family "Bacterial small subunit ribosomal RNA", at positions 28 to 507 of the family's 1533-position model. The record is from RNAcentral.